Molecule: ribosomal RNA, 429 nt
Filed under: Gemmatimonadota bacterium
Lineage: Bacteria; Pseudomonadati; Gemmatimonadota
Description: Gemmatimonadetes bacterium partial 16S ribosomal RNA
Rfam family: Bacterial small subunit ribosomal RNA
Source: RNAcentral
UAGGGAAACUUCGGCAAUGGACGAAAGUCUGACCGAGCAACGCCGCGUGAGUGAAGAAGGUUUUCGGAUCGUAAAACUCUGUUGUUAGAGAAGAACAAGGACGUUAGUAACUGAACGUCCCCUGACGGUAUCUAACCAGAAAGCCACGGCUAACUACGUGCCAGCAGCCGCGGUAAUACGUAGGUGGCAAGCGUUGUCCGGAUUUAUUGGGCGUAAAGCGAGCGCAGGCGGUUUCUUAAGUCUGAUGUGAAAGCCCCCGGCUCAACCGGGGAGGGUCAUUGGAAACUGGGAGACUUGAGUGCAGAAGAGGAGAGUGGAAUUCCAUGUGUAGCGGUGAAAUGCGUAGAUAUAUGGAGGAACACCAGUGGCGAAGGCGGCUCUCUGGUCUGUAACUGACGCUGAGGCUCGAAAGCGUGGGGAGCAAACAGG